UCCUCACUCCAGGCAUCUGACAGAGCCAGU
RNAcentral lists this non-coding RNA (30 nucleotides) under Rattus norvegicus (Norway rat). The record is from RNAcentral. Lineage: Eukaryota; Metazoa; Chordata; Mammalia; Rodentia; Muridae.